RNAcentral lists this ribosomal RNA (484 nucleotides) under uncultured bacterium. RNAcentral describes it as "partial 16S ribosomal RNA". It matches the Rfam family "Bacterial small subunit ribosomal RNA", at positions 29 to 507 of the family's 1533-position model. The record is from RNAcentral.
AUUGAACGCUGGCGGCAUGCUUUACACAUGCAAGUCGAACGGCAGCGCGGGCUUCGGCCUGGCGGCGAGUGGCGAACGGGUGAGUAAUACAUCGGAAAGUGCCCAGUAGUGGGGGAUAGCUCGGCGAAAGCCGGAUUAAUACCGCAUACGACCUGAGGGUGGAAGCGGGGGAUCUUCGGACCUCGCGCUAUUGGAGCGGCCGAUGGCAGAUUAGCUAGUUGGUGGGGUAAAGGCCUACCAAGGCGACGAUCUGUAGCUGGUCUGAGAGGACGACCAGCCACACUGGGACUGAGACACGGCCCAGACUCCUACGGGAGGCAGCAGUGGGGAAUUUUGGACAAUGGGCGAAAGCCUGAUCCAGCAAUGCCGCGUGUGUGAUGAAGGCCUUCGGGUUGUAAAGCACUUUUGGCGGGAACGAAAAGGACUGUGCCAAUACCACGGUUCGAUGACGGUACCCGCAGAAUAAGCACCGGCUAACUACGUG